RNAcentral lists this long non-coding RNA (568 nucleotides) under Micromonas commoda. Its description in RNAcentral is "long non-coding RNA (MCOM_LNC000466)". Lineage: Eukaryota; Viridiplantae; Chlorophyta; Mamiellophyceae; Mamiellales; Mamiellaceae. The record is from RNAcentral.
UCAUCGGGCGGCUCACCUCGCUGACGGGGUUGAACCUCAGCGACAAUCGGCUGACGAGCGUGCCGGCGGAGAUCGGGCGGCUCACCUCGCUGACGGGGUUGGGCCUUGACGGCAACAAGCUGACGAGCGUGCCGGCGGAGAUCGGGCGGCUCACCUCGCUGACGGUGUUGCGCCUUGACGGCAAUCGGCUGACGAGCGUGCCGGCGGAGAUCGGGCGGCUCACCUCGCUCACGUAUUUGCGCCUCUCUGGCAACAAGCUGACGAGCGUGCCGGCGGAGAUCGGGCGGCUCACCUCGCUGACGGGGUUGGGCCUUGACGGCAACAAGCUGACGAGCGUGCCGGCGGAGAUCGGGCGGCUCACCUCGCUGACGGUGUUGCGCCUUGACGGCAAUCGGCUGACGAGCGUGCCGGCGGAGAUUGGGCAGCUUACGGCGCUGGAGGGGUUGUUCCUUGACGGCAACAAGCUGACGAGCGUGCCGGCGGAGAUCGGGCGGCUCACGUCGCUGCACGCGUUGUUCCUCUCUGACAACAAGCUGACGAGCGUGCCGGCGGAGAUUGGGCGGCUCAC